CUUCUAUUUUCUUGCAUAUUGUGCUUGUCUUCACAAAAAUAGGCACUUUUACUGGUCUUUUAAAAAUAAUAAGGCCUGCUCACUCAGACAAUUGUGCUAUGUAGAGGAGGCCAAAUUCUGAGCUCUGAUUGAUCUCUAAACUUCCGAAACGAGCAUUAUUCAGCAUUUCCUACCACCCAGCAGUAUUUGUCUCCCUCCUCAAUACGUGCGGUUUUGUGAAAUGAAUUUGCAUCACUUUUAACAUGUUAGUUUAUGUUUCAGAUAUCCAUAUUGUUACAGUCAAGUACCCUGCUUCAACUGAGGCAGUAACUAAUUGCUCAGAUAACACAACUUCCUGAAGUGCCUUUUGGCUAUUCAUGGUUGUAUUUCAAAUAAACUAAACCAGGUAAGCAGAAAACGAAAAAAAAAGUAGUUUAAGUUAAUAUCUUUCUUUGGCAUAAAACAGACUAAAAAAGCUCAGAGAGGCCACAGUUUUGUGAUGCGGCAGCUUUGGCAAUAACAGAAGUUUCAGAUAUUCCUGCCCCUCCACCCUUUUCCAUUUGAUCCCAGGCCUGCCCUAUGGCUUGUUGCUCAUUUGUACUGCAGGUCUGCUUGUAACCCAGAUCAUUUCCGUGAUCUAGUUCAGACAGCUGUAUUGAUCUGGACUAUUGCAGAGUUCUGCACUGAACCCUGCAAUAAAGAUGAAGUAAACACUGCUCUUUUGUUUAUACCCUGGGUCUAUUUUAUGAUAAGCUCAGAGCAAGACUCCACAAGCAGUUGGGCUGACGCAACAGAAGAGACAGACUGCCAUGACAUGGAGGAAAUAAAUCCCAGAUGUGAAAUUGUGUGAGCUGUUAGCAAGAAAACAAACAAAGCUUCUGCAUCAAAGGAAUGAUUAUGAUCUGCAUUUUAUAGCAACAUUAACUUCUUCAAUUGUAGCAGAAAAAGAGAAGAAAAAAAGAAGAAAGAAAGAAAAUGAACAAGCAACCUGGAUAAAUGCCAUUGCUUCAUUUUACAUCAGUAUUGGUUGUCCACUUUAUGUGAAAUAUAACUGUAACUAAACAUUUAUUUCACUAAAAUAAAAGCAACCAAUAAUGGCUGGUGACA
Molecule: long non-coding RNA, 1086 nt
Filed under: Struthio camelus australis
Lineage: Eukaryota; Metazoa; Chordata; Aves; Struthioniformes; Struthionidae
Description: lncRNA (ENSSCUG00000018766.1)
Source: RNAcentral